GCAGGCAUCUUCUCAGCCUACAUGUGGAUUCUUAAAUCUGCAGGCUGGUUAGAUGGUUGUC
RNAcentral lists this microRNA precursor (61 nucleotides) under Alligator mississippiensis (American alligator). Its description in RNAcentral is "Ami-Mir-456_pre stem-loop". It matches the Rfam family "mir-456 microRNA precursor family", at positions 7 to 67 of the family's 73-position model. RNAcentral also lists the same sequence under 1 other name. Lineage: Eukaryota; Metazoa; Chordata; Crocodylia; Alligatoridae. The record is from RNAcentral.